GCAGGAAUGGCGGAACGGUAUACGCGGCUGAUUUAGGAUCAGUAUUUUGGGAGUUCGUCCCGAUAGCUAUCGGGACCCUUCCUGUA
Molecule: transfer RNA, 86 nt
Filed under: Flavobacterium sp. Sd200
Lineage: Bacteria; Pseudomonadati; Bacteroidota; Flavobacteriia; Flavobacteriales; Flavobacteriaceae
Description: tRNA-Leu
Rfam family: tRNA
About the family: Transfer RNA (tRNA) molecules are approximately 80 nucleotides in length. Their secondary structure includes four short double-helical elements and three loops (D, anti-codon, and T loops).
Source: RNAcentral